UUUACUUGAUUUCCUUCGGGGAUGAUUGUUCUGUGACUGAGUGGCGGACGGGUGAGUAACGCGUGGAUAACCUGCCUCACACAGGGGGAUAACAGUUGGAAACGACUGCUAAUACCGCAUAAGCGCACAGCACCGCAUGGUGCAGUGUGAAAAACUCCGGUGGUGUGAGAUGGAUCCGCGUCUGAUUAGCUAGUUGGCGGGGUAACGGCCACCAAGGCGACGAUCAGUAGCCGGCCUGAGAGGGCGACCGGCCACAUUGGGACUGAGACACGGCCCAGACUCCUACGGGAGGCAGCAGUGGGGAAUAUUGCACAAUGGGGGAAACCCUGAUGCAGCGACGCCGCGUGAGCGAUGAAGUAUUUCGGUAUGUAAAGCUCUAUCAGCAGGGAAGAUAAUGACGGUACCUGACUAAGAAGCUCCGGCUAAAUACGUGCCAGCAGCCGCGGUAAUACGUAUGGAGCAAGCGUUAUCCGGAUUUACUGGGUGUAAAGGGAGCGUAGGCGGUCCUGCAAGUCUGAUGUGAAAGGCCGGGGCUCAACCCCGGGACUGCAUUGGAAACUGUAGGACUAGAGUGUCGGAGGGGUAAGUGGAAUUCCUAGUGUAGCGGUGAAAUGCGUAGAUAUUAGGAGGAACACCAGUGGCGAAGGCGGCUUACUGGACGACUACUGACGCUGAGGCUCGAAAGCGUGNGGAGCAAACAGGAUUAGAUACCCUGGUANUCCACGCCGU
This 729-nucleotide ribosomal RNA is filed under the name uncultured bacterium. RNAcentral describes it as "bacterial SSU rRNA". It matches the Rfam family "Bacterial small subunit ribosomal RNA", at positions 63 to 803 of the family's 1533-position model. The record is from RNAcentral.